This is a long non-coding RNA of Nicotiana tabacum (common tobacco), 466 nucleotides long. RefSeq lists it as uncharacterized. NCBI's taxonomy places the organism in Eukaryota, Viridiplantae, Streptophyta, Magnoliopsida, Solanales, Solanaceae. The record is from RefSeq and is a predicted model, not a curated record.
AUUUCGGACUCGAUCUCCUCCAGGCAAUUUCGGACUCGAUCCAAGCUCAUCCAUCAACAGUUUCUCCAAAUCUGAAAAUCGUUAAUUGGAAGGCUUAAUUUCGGACUCCAGGCUCAACAACAGAGGCGGCGUGCUAAUUAAUCCUUUAGAGUUUCUUCAAAUCUGAAAAUCGGCAGCUGUGACUUCAGCUGAGCUUUACUAUUGGAGUGCUAAAUUAUCUGGAAAUUACUUCGGCCCAUUUGCUUCUUGGAUUACUGGGACUAGGGGUGGAGUAGAUGAAGAAAUGGAAGACGGAGGCAGUGAUGAAGAUACUUAAGAGAAUUUUGAAUUGUUGAUUGUUGUAGAUGCAUGUGGCGGUUUCUAGGAAUGUUUGUUAUCAAAACAUUUUAAAACUUUUAACUCUUGAAAUAUCAAAUGUAUGUACUUGGUAACAUUUUAUCUAUGGAUUUAUUAUUAGCUUGUUGGA